This 259-nucleotide ribosomal RNA is filed under the name Cheumatopsyche oxa. RNAcentral's name for it is "partial 28S large subunit ribosomal RNA". It matches the Rfam family "Eukaryotic large subunit ribosomal RNA", at positions 646 to 857 of the family's 3401-position model. The record is from RNAcentral. Lineage: Eukaryota; Metazoa; Arthropoda; Insecta; Trichoptera; Hydropsychidae.
UACCCGUCUUGAAACACGGACCAAGGAGUCUAGCAUGCGCGCGAGUCAUUGGGAGUCAUAUUAAACCCAAAGGCGAAAUGAAAGUGAACAGCGUCGGCUUCGGUCGGCCGCAGGGAAGAUGGCCGCCGGUACGCCCGUCGGCCCGCAUUCCCGAGGCGUUUCGAGAAAUGCCUCCGUUGCGAUUAUCGAGACGCACUGAGAGCGCGCACGCUGGGACCCGAAAGAUGGUGAACUAUGCCUGGUCAGGUCGAAGUCAGGG